ACUAGUGAAACUUCUCAGUCGAAUGCAAUUGUUAGUUUUUGUGUGUGUAAAACCUAUCAAAUUACUUUCGAUUCAGAUUUUGUGAAAAUGGACUCUGCACCAAAGCCAAAGACAGAUACCGUGGCUGUAUAUCAGUGUUUUCACUGCAACAACAUUUACUACAUGUCCAAUGUGGGCAAAGAUAAUUUGGUACUUUGUCUAAUUUGCCAGCGCAUGAAUUAUCCACGUAAAAUCACAAGUGUUUGACAACCAGUGGCGUGAAAAAAUUCUCUCAAACUGUGUCAUCGUCGACCGGGCGAUAAUUGAGCAAAACAUAGAUAUAAUCAAAUCAAGCGGAAAUGCAUUUAUUUCUUCAAAUUGAUUAAACAAUUGAUCAAAUUUGAUAUAUCGAAAUCAUAUUUCAUUAAAUAAAACAUUUGUUCAUAUCAUAACAAUACGAAUGUUUACAUUCUUUGCAAUUAUUUUCAAUCAACAAACGUUUAAAAUCAGCAUUUAACGCGCAAGUAUUUCUGAUGUAGCAGACAUUUUGUGCAUAUUUUGCAUUAGCACAAAAUUCUUCGGUUGUUUUACUUGCAUAUUAUCUUUAGUUUCUACUUCACUUUGUUCAGUUCAUCGCAGUCAGUCGAUCGAAGCAAUUUAGCUUUAAAACGUGUACUUACUUAAAGCCGAAUCAAAGCCUUAACUUGACUAAACCGAUUUGAAGUCUUUACUUGGUUGAACCGAACCGAAGUUCUUUGCAAUGGAAAAACGAGACAUUAGAAUUCCAGAGCAAAAAAUUCAGCAACUUUUGGAGCUGGAGGUGGAUUACCAAAAACAUCGUAAACGUAUCAUAAGAAGCAUUCACGAUAGUUUGCAGAGACAAGAAGCGUAUUGGGACAAAAAGGAACGAGAAGCGGCCGAGAAGGCUGAGAAGGCUGGAAAAGAUAGAAAAACUGGAAAAGCCAAGAAAUGAGACAUUCAAACAGGAUUGAUUUGCGUCAAUUUUCCAAAAAAAAAUAUUCGUGUCAAUAUCGAACAUUGUAAUAAAAAUCACAAUCAAGUGGAAAUAAGUAUCGAUGUUUUUGUAAUUCAUUCAUCAAGUUUUCAGGCUUUGUGUAUACUCAUAACUCUUUCGGAGCGAUUAUUUUAAGCGGAUAUUGCAAAAUAUCAACACGUCUGCUUCUGAAUACUUUAAUGAAAUGCAAACAAUCAGCUCAUUCUGUAGCGAUGGCGA
Sitodiplosis mosellana (orange wheat blossom midge) is the source of this 1213-nucleotide long non-coding RNA. RefSeq lists it as uncharacterized. The record is from RefSeq and is a predicted model, not a curated record. NCBI's taxonomy places the organism in Eukaryota, Metazoa, Arthropoda, Insecta, Diptera, Cecidomyiidae. The transcript is spliced from 3 exons.